GACGAACGCUGGCGGCGUGCUUAACACAUGCAAGUCGAGCGGUAAGGCCCUUUCGGGGGUACACGAGCGGCGAACGGGUGAGUAACACGUGGGUGACCUGCCCUCAGCUCUGGGAUAAGCCUGGGAAACCGGGUCUAAUACUGGAUAUGACUCCAUGACGCAUGUUGUGGGGUGGAAAGCCUUGUGCGGCUGAGGAUGGGCCCGCGGCCUAUCAGCUUGUUGGUGGGGUGANGGCCUACCAAGGCGACGACGGGUAGCCGGCCUGAGAGGGCGACCGGCCACACUGGGACUGAGACACGGCCCAGACUCCUACGGGAGGCAGGCAGUGGGGAAUCUUGCGCAAUGGGCGAAAAGCCUGACGCAGCGACGCCGCGUGAGGGAUGACGG
RNAcentral lists this ribosomal RNA (387 nucleotides) under uncultured bacterium. RNAcentral's name for it is "bacterial SSU rRNA". It matches the Rfam family "Bacterial small subunit ribosomal RNA", at positions 28 to 414 of the family's 1533-position model. The record is from RNAcentral.